This is a long non-coding RNA of Leptidea sinapis, 5384 nucleotides long. RefSeq lists it as uncharacterized. The transcript is spliced from 3 exons. NCBI's taxonomy places the organism in Eukaryota, Metazoa, Arthropoda, Insecta, Lepidoptera, Pieridae. The record is from RefSeq and is a predicted model, not a curated record.
AAUAUUUAAUUAUUUAAUUGAGACUUGAGAGCAGCUUACAAACAAGUUAUAACUUUUCUCAAUUAAGAAACCGGGUGUGAGAUUCUAGACUCAAAACGGAUAGAUAAUCUGAUAUUAACGGUAUUUGUAAACAACCAUAAUGGACCAAACAAACCAAACGUUUGUCAUAGAAGAUGACGGAACCAUAGGGGAGUCCUUAAAAACGGUUAUAAAUAAAUUUGAUGAUGUGGUGUCCUGUGAGUACACAGUUACAGAUCUACCAUCAGGUUAUAUUAACCUGACAAUAAUAACAACUGGGACUCCAGUUUAUUUAAUUUUAAUUAGAGCCCUCUUUGAAUUAAGAAGUGAUAUAGAUGAUUUAAAAACAGAUCUUAUCGAUGUUAAAAGUAAACUAAACCAACUUAUGAAACAUUUCCACAGCCACUAAACUAAGUGAGUUGUGGGUUACUGGAUUACCUUCAAAGAUUAUAUUAUGUGUAUAACAAUCAAUUGAAAUUCAGUUACUGUGCUACAGCAAGCAUUCUUAGGAUUACAUCGCAUCUUUAUGAACUCUAUGAGCUCAGGAAUUUGAACUAUGAUUCUGUAGUCAAGGAAUAUGUGCAUAACUAUUCUAAAAUAUUUAAAAAAAAGUUUGGGAAGAGGCAAGACAUAUCCAUAUUCACAACUAGGUUAUUUCUAUAAAUAAUUAAAUAAAAUGACUUGGGAAAUAAUAAAUAGGGAAACAGGUAAGAAUAAAACAAAUAAACAUUCUAUCUGUAUUUAAAAAGAUCGAGUGGUCAUCGAAAACAAUGAGAAAAGAACUCAAAAUUUUGAUAACUUUUCAAAUAUUCCUGUUUAGAUUACAAUUACUAAAAAAGGUUAAAAUGAAAAAGCUGAAUCAAUGCUUAAAAAGCAAUGUACCUGAGUGCACAGUUUCUUUCUAAUUAGUAACAUUACUAUUGGUGAAAUAAUCAAAGUAUUUUUCUCAUUAAGUGUAAAAAACAUGUGUGCUGCUAUUAUAGCAAAGAUAAUCAAAAAUAUUACUCUCCAAUUAUGUUAAAUCUUCAAUAAAUGUUGUGAUACUGGAUUUUUCUAGAUUAUCUAAAGUAUAGUAAAAAAUUGCAUUGUUUAUCACAGGCAAUCACAUCAUUGUCUUCCAUUUUCUUUGAAGUAACGAUCAUCACUGUGUUUUACUCCCCCCCUCCCAUGGGCGGAAGGAGCUAAGCCCAAUACCCUGGCACUUCUUCUCCCAUGACAUUCGGAGAGGCGUUGGGUAUUAUUUGGUUUGUCGCUACAUGCUUACGUCACUGUUGUGCCCUUGCUAAUAGCUUUGUCAGUCUUUAUUUGUUUUCGGAGUCUUCUAGGAUUGAUGUUGUCCUCCUCUUCAAAAAUACGGCGGCUAGGCGAUCAGAUGUUGUCUGUAGCGCAUCAGCACUCCCGGCAGUGACUGCAGCAGGUCUGGUCCGGUCAGCAGGUGGUCGUUCACUGAUGUCCUAAGCGUUGGGGCUGCGGCGUCGAAGACACAGCAUACUUUUCCUGGCUUGGCCGUAUAUAGUACCGGGAAGUGAGGUGAUGUCCCUUGUUUGGCAGCUUCGGCUUAGUUCAUCUCUAGCACGAUUGCUAGACUCAUCUGCAUUUCCUAGGCUUUCUUCAGCUGAGGUGUCUUGUCUAUUUUCUUCGCAGUGCUGUACGUGCAUGUGAGAGAGUGAUCGUAGUUGUUUGGUAGGUUUCGUCGGUUUUCCAUAAUAACUUGUACUGUAGCCGGUGGUAAGAAGUUCGAUGGUGUACUCUCGAAGUACGUUGAGGGCAUGCUCGUCUAUUGCGAAAUGCUUCUUGACAGCUUACUUCGGUGAUUGGUUGAGCCAUGUAGUAUCCAUCCCAGCGGUGUUCUAGAAGCGACAGGUUCUUGGGAAGUAUGAUGGCGUGCCUCAUGGGCGAGAAGAAGCUCCCAGUUGGCUUGACCUAUUGAUAUAGUCGGCCGCGCCUCUUCGUAUUUUAAUUUGCGUGCGAUGUCUUCGAGAUGACAAUACUUGUCGAGUUCUAUAUUAUUUACUUCUUGCGCUACCAGCCUGAGGUUCAUUAUUGUUCUUCCUCAUUGUGUAUGCUUCAUUAUCAUGACUUCAAAGUGUUGCGACGCGUCGCGAGUCUGUUCUGGUGACACGCGCCCCGGCGAUCGCCUCGAUGUUAAGUCGAACCACAGGGCCUUCAGCGCCAACAUUACUUGCUAGAUCUUCGUCUAUCAGCGUGCCCAUCGACCUGCCGUCCAGAAGGGCGUACGUUUUUACUGUCAACUUCGGCCCGAUUACCGAUACAGGAAGUAUCGUAAAAUAAUAGCUGUCACAAAAAAUACGCGUUGCAAAUAACAAGUAUUUAAAUUUUGUUAGUCUUGUGUCCUAAGAAGUAUAUCAAAAAUGAACUGAAAAUAGUAUCGCAAUUCCUGUGUUAAUCACUUUUUUUAUGCAAUCAUUAACUGAUCUUCAAUACCAUUUUGUUUAAUGUUUUCAUAUUUUUAUUAUAAACUUGUAAAAAGGAGAUUAAUGACGGAGUACAAUGUGCGGGAUGUGCGAGAAAAUGCGAGACCGGGUAUGAUAAUCGAGCUGCUUGGAGGUGCACACAAUGCAACGGUGGUAACUCGCCUAAAUUCAAAUCGAAAUAUAUUUUUAUUCAAAAUAGGAUUCAAAAUCACUUAUAGAACCUCAAAACCUGGUAGGUUUCAAAAUAGACUGCUGCAGACGUACGCAAGAAACUCAGCAGGUUUUUUUUUUAUAAAACUAUGGAUUACAAUUUAAUAUCGUACAAUAAACAUUUAUAAUUAGAGCCUGAGGGUGUAGGCUUCCUUUCCAGUCUGUGGUAUCAUUAAGAAAAUAGUUAAUGCUAUAGUAACCUUUCCCACACAAACGUUUUAAUAAUUUCAUGAAUUUUUAUUUAUUUCUCUAAUAUGCAUUGAAUUAGGAAUAGUACAUACUUUCUUAAAUGGUUUAGAAUAUUUUUUCGCAUAUCAUGAUUACAUGAUGAUCUCUCACUAUAUAGUUCAUAUAGCCGUUGUCUGCAUCUAUGAAUACCAGCUGUUGCCCAGUCAUUAAAUGACAAGAGACCACCUGAGUUGACUGUCUCUGAAGUAAAUAUAGAAUCAAACUGUUUUAAUUAUUUUAAAUAACAUACCAUACAUCUCAUUUGGAGUAGUUAUAAUUCAAAUACAAAUUUGAGAGCUUUUCUGAAACAUUGCCUCUAUAUUUCUCCAUUCGCCUAUUAUUUACCGGAACAAGCAUACUUUUAAUUGAAGUACAUUAGUUUACUUCAGUAUUAAAAGAGGCUAAUUGACCAAAGUGGUCUGAUCUCAGUUUACUAAUUAUUGACUGAGAAAUAGGUUUACAAUCAGUAAAAAUAUUAUAAAUACAGCUUUUAGAGGUGCUGGUAACUCUAGUAGGUUCUAAGAAACCUAAACCCACUCAACUGGACAGUACGCAAGAAGAACAACUAAACAAUAUUAUGGUUAAACUCGAACUGUUGUCCUCUUUAGCUGUGGAUAUUAAGUCGGUCAGAGAUGACAUUAAUAACUUAAAGGACAUUAAUAACUCAUUAGAACUAGCGCACCAAUUGAUCGGCGACUUCUCCUGAACUAUUGGAAAAAUUUGGAAAGACUGGCUUGGAGUCUAGAAUAGUGAACGUAGAAAGAGAAUGGUUCACGAGGUCCCAACAUUAAAGGAGGAGGUGGUUAGACUUUCAAAGGAGCUACAUGAUCGUGAUCAGAAAAAACGUAGAAAUAGGUGGCAUACCCCUAAAGAAAAAUGAAAAUCUAUACGACAUAGCGGACAAAAUCAGCCAACGAGACUGCACGAGUCUGGUGCCAGAUUUUGGCGAGACAACACGUCCUGAGGAUGCCUCGUGUAGAGGCGAAACACGUGUCGAAUUGUUUUAAAAACAAAUAUUGGCGGAAUUAACACUAAAGAAAACUUAAAUCAUUUGUAUAAUUAUGGAUUUCCGCAAAGUAACGCCUAAUUAAAUAAAUUUUCAAAAUCAGCCUGUUAUGCAACAUACCUUUGAAUAGAAAAGUAAUCAAUUGUUUCGCACGUUUACCGAUCCGGUUACCCAAUACUGAGAAACCGAUCUGAAUUGCGCUUAACAAUCGGUAUAAGAAAGAAGAGCUAAUCGCCUCUGCUCGAAAACUAAAACAAAAAGACAACCCAGGUAAUUAAGUAAAAAUAGAAUUUAAUUGGAAUUUCCAUGCAUAAUAUUUUGCUAUUAUUAACGAUAUGAACGAGAAUCAUAUCAAUGUUAAGGUUCUAUUUUAAGGUUACAUUUUAAAGUAAAAAGCAAUAAAUUUAUUGACUAAAUAAAAAAUAUCACUACUCUUCGAUAACAGUUCCCUUAAAGCCUCUACUAGUAUCGGCAUACUGGGUCUCGAAAUCUCGAGCGAUUGCCAAUUCCGUGGCCAUCUGGAGGGCAAAGCUAAAUUGGCUUCGAAGAAGCUGGGCGUCAAUAAUAGAGCACGGCAAUACUUUUAGCCGGCCCACAUUCUAGCGCUCUACAAAGCGCAGGUCUAGCACACAUUAAGUGUUGCAGUCAUCUCCGGUCUGGCGCUCCCCAGUAUCAGCUCGAUCCAUUUGACCGCGUGCAAUGCAGAGCAGCUCGAAUUGUCGGGGACCCAGUGCUCUGUGUACGGCUGGAACACUUAGCGUUGCGCAUUGACGUCGCUUCAUUGUGUAUCGUACCGCAUUUAUCACGGAGAGUGUUCCGUAGAGCUGUUUCACCUAAUUCCUGCCGCUGAAUUCCACCUUCUCACGACACGCCACGAGUUAAGGUAUCAUCCCCACCAUAUGGAUCCUCCACAGUGCAGUUUUCAAGGAGCUUUCUUCCACGUACUAAAAAGCUGUGGAAUGAACUUCCUUGUGUGAUGUUUCCGGGAUGAUACGACAUGGAUACCUUUCUUAAAAGCUGGCAACGCUCCUGUGAUUCCUCUGGUGUUGCAAGACCCAGGUGACCCGUACGCUCGUAGGUCAUCCUUAUCCAUAAAAAAAUCAUUAAACUCACUUCAAAAUAGUUACCUCGUAUAAUAUACCACGUCAUAAUAAACAAAUUGUUGGAGAUACUUUAUCACUUUUCAUUUAUUGUUGUUUUUUAUGCCUUUUUUAUGGUAGAUUAAGUAAUUUAUAAGAACUAUGUACAACAAUCGCUUAAUGUAAGCCUUACUAAAGUUUAUUUAACUUUGAAGUUUAUUACUUUAAAAUCGUAGUGUAAUAUAAAUUAUAUGUUUAUUGUUUUUAAACUUUGUAAUCCAAAUUAUUCAAGUAAGUUUAUUGUUUUAAAUUGUAACAGUCACUGUACCGGUGUCACUAUUGUAAAAAGUUGAUUAUUUUAGUAAUAGGUUGUAGUUGUACAAUAAAAUUAAUAUAUGUAUAAGUGUA